Alosa alosa (allis shad) is the source of this 326-nucleotide long non-coding RNA. RefSeq lists it as uncharacterized. NCBI's taxonomy places the organism in Eukaryota, Metazoa, Chordata, Actinopteri, Clupeiformes, Clupeidae. The record is from RefSeq and is a predicted model, not a curated record. The transcript has 3 exons.
AGCUCUCUUCGCCAGUGAUGCAGAGUUGGUGGUCCAGGAGAGGUCUUCUCUUGGUAUGCCAGACUUCACUGACGCAUAAAGCUUCAAACCUGAUAAUUUCCCAAAAGGCACUGACCUUUGCAAGUACAAGGUCUGGAGGAGAAUGGAGAAAACCCAGGUCUGGAGGAGAAUGGAGAAAACCCAGGUCUCUAUGAGCUGGAGAAGAACUGACUGAGGACAACAGAAUAUGCAUCCCAUAAUGCUACAAGACACAGCCAUCACCACCUUGCAAGAUUGCUCAGGAUCUCCGGACUGAUAACUUGUAUAAGGAUAUGUGGCUGUCACAU